Molecule: ribosomal RNA, 301 nt
Filed under: uncultured bacterium
Lineage: Bacteria
Description: partial 16S ribosomal RNA
Rfam family: Bacterial small subunit ribosomal RNA
Source: RNAcentral
CAGUAGCCACGGUAAUACGUAGGUGGCAAGCGUUGUCCGGAAUUAUUGGGCGUAAAGGGCUCGCAGGCGGUUUCUUAAGUCUGAUGUGAAAGCCCCCGGCUCAACCGGGGAGGGUCAUUGGAAACUGGGAAACUUGAGUGCAGAAGAGGAGAGUGGAAUUCCACGUGUAGCGGUGAAAUGCGUAGAGAUGUGGAGGAACACCAGUGGCGGAGGCGACUCUCUGGUCUGUAACUGACGCUGAGGAGCGAAAGCGUGGGGAGCGAACAGGAUUAGAUACCCCCGUAGUCCCUGUCUCUUAUAC